Molecule: ribosomal RNA, 540 nt
Filed under: uncultured bacterium
Lineage: Bacteria
Description: bacterial SSU rRNA
Rfam family: Bacterial small subunit ribosomal RNA
Source: RNAcentral
GAGGAAUAUUGGUCAAUGGGCGAGAGCCUGAACCAGCCAAGUCGCGUGAAGGAUGACUGUCUUAUGGAUUGUAAACUUCUUUUAUACGGGAAUAACAAGAGUCACGUGUGACUCCCUGCAUGUACCGUAUGAAUAAGCAUCGGCUAACUCCGUGCCAGCAGCCGCGGUAAUACGGAGGAUGCGAGCGUUAUCCGGAUUUAUUGGGUUUAAAGGGUGCGUAGGCGGCCUGUUAAGCCAGCGGUGAAAUCUAGGAGCUUAACUCCUAAAUUGCCAUUGAUACUGGCGGGCUUGAGUGUAGAUGAGGUAGGCGGAAUGCGUGGUGUAGCGGUGGAAUGCAUAGAUAUCACGCAGAACUCCGAUUGCGAAGGCAGCUUACUAAGGUACAACUGACGCUGAAGCACGAAAGCGUGGGUAUCAAACAGGAUUAGAUACCCUGGUAGUCCACGCAGUAAACGAUGAUAACUGGGCGUAUGCGAUAUACAGUAUGCUCCUAAGCGAAAGCGUUAAGUUAUCCACCUGGGGAGUACGCCGGCAACGGUG